CUGGCAAGGGCGGUUUCUUUCCUCAAAGGAAAGGGCACGGCGGGAAUCGGCAGAAAACUCAUACAGAAUAUUAACAGAAAUAGAAGUCAAAUCUUAAAAGAUGUUGUCCUCUUGCUUCAUAUUAAAAGAACUGCAAUUAUCUUUAUAAUUAUAGACCAUACUCACUUCAGUUUCCGUUUUAUUAAAAUUAUCUUCAAUAUACAGUACAGUAGAGAAC
RNAcentral lists this long non-coding RNA (217 nucleotides) under Mytilus galloprovincialis (Mediterranean mussel). The record is from RNAcentral. Lineage: Eukaryota; Metazoa; Mollusca; Bivalvia; Mytilida; Mytilidae.